This 537-nucleotide ribosomal RNA is filed under the name uncultured eukaryote. Its description in RNAcentral is "bacterial SSU rRNA". It matches the Rfam family "Eukaryotic small subunit ribosomal RNA", at positions 25 to 551 of the family's 1831-position model. The record is from RNAcentral.
UAACAUAUGCUUGUCUCGAAGAUUAAGCCAUGCAAGCCCAGAAUAAGCAAUAUUCACGGCGAAUCUGCGAAUGGCUCAUUAAAUCAGUUAUAGUUUAUUUGAUAGUGUCUACUACAUGGAUAUCCGUAGUAAUUCUAGGGCUAAUACAUGCACGCAAAGCCGACUUUUUGGAAGGCUUGUAUUUAUUAGGUAAAAACCAACGGUGUGUCGCUCGGCAACGGGCGGCUCACGAAUGGUGAUCCAUAAUAACUGCGCGAAUCGUAUGGUCUUGCACCGACGAUGAAUCAUUCAAAUUUCUGCCCUAUCAACUUUGGACGGUAAGAUAGAGGCUUACCGUGGUCGUCACGGGUAGCGGAGGAUUAGGGUCUGACUCCGGAGAGGGAGCUUUAGAAACGRCCGCCACUUCCAAGGAAGGCAGCAGGCGCGCAAAUUACCCAAUUCCGUUUCGGAGAGGUAGUGAAGACAAAUAACAAURUGUGGCUCUACGAGCCGCAUAAUUGGAAUGAGAGAGACGUAAAUACUUUCUCGAAUGCAAUU